UUUUUUUUUUUUAGGGCUGCUCCCACAGCAUAUGGAGGUUCCCAGGCUAGGGGUCCAAUCGGAGCUGUGGCCACUGCCUACACCACAGCCACAGCAAAGCCAGAUUUGAGCCAUAUCUGCAGCCUACACCCCAGCUCACGGCAACACAAGAUCCUUAACCCACUGAGCAAGACCAGGGAUCGAACCCGUGUUCUCAUGGAUACUGGUCUGGUCCAUUAACCGCUGAGCCACAACAGGAACUCCCAGUGGUGCAUAUGUUAAGCAGAAAUGAGAUGUCCUGUUGGAAAGCAUUGUUCAGGCUUUAAAAAGAGGACUGUGGGGACAGGUGCUGUGAGGAAAGACUCCUUGAGAGUGAGACGUGGGCAUCAGCGUGUAAGCUGGGCUUGCCGUGUCCCUGCCGGUCAGGGGGUCAGCUGGCCAUGCCUGGUCUCCGGAGAGCGAGGCUGAGUUUCUCCAAAAGCUUAUGGGGGGAGGGUGUCUGCUCCAGGAGAACCCCUGGGGCUUAGCUCCCAAAUGUUGAAGGGGAGGUUCAUGGACGUGUGGUUUUAUGUGUCCAGCAGGGACCCUACCCAGUGUCAUUGUUGCUGGUGGGGAGUGGAACGUGAAAAGGGAGCUUGAGCUUAAAGUGGUUGCAUUUGGUUUGUUUGUUUGUUUGUUUGGCUGUGCCCAUGGCAUGCAGAAAUUCCUGGGCCAGGGAUCGAAUCCAUGCUGCAGCAGUGACCUGAGCCACAGCAGUGACAACGCCAGCUCCUUAAGCCCUUGUGCUACCGGGGAACUCCCGCUUGUUUUUACUCUAGGCAGACAACGGCAAAAGGGAGGUCGGUUGAACCCUGGUGGAUGAUUGCUCUUCUUGAGAUGGGAGGCUGGGGUCGAGGCGCCCAGUCGGACGGGAGCCUUGCUGGGAGGAGCACGUCCUAAAGGAAAAGGCAAGACAGUAGGGCCUUCCAGCUUCCGGGUGUUCGUGUGCCCCCGGGUAUCCAGCUCUGGAGGAAGCCCUCGGCGAGCACUGUGCCCCUGGCUCUCACAUCAGCCUCCCCGCCACCCAGUGAGACAGGCUCGCAGUCAGCAGGAUGAGGGUCCCCCAGAGAGGCCUGCGUCCUAACGCCCGCAACUUGGGACGACACCACCUUACAAGGCAAAGGGGUUAGGAUUGCUAACCCGUUUAUCUUAAAAUAGGGAGCUUGGCUUAGAUUACCCAGAUGGGCCCAGUGCAAUCCCAAGAGUCCUUCCACAUGGAGUCCGCCAGCAGUAAAGUCAGUGGGACCGUCUGAGAAGGACCAGCCCGGCCACUGCUGGCUUUCGAGAUGGAGGCCGAGGCCACCGGGCUGGAAUGCGGGUGGCUUCUGGAAGCUGGAAAAGGCCAGAACACCGAGCCAAAAGGAACACGGCCUGUAAAACUAGGACUCUGGGCCCCCUGAACGGGAAGUUAAGAAGUUUGGGGGGUUUGCACCCUUCUUGUUUGUGAUCGUGAUGCUGGGAAUAGGAAACCGACCCGGGGUUGUUUCCCACAGGUUAGGCAUGGUGAACGGAGGCUUGGGCAAACCAGGUGACUCCUACCCAAAUCGGCGACAUGCACGAGCCCAAGUGACAGAGCCCCCCGUUCAGUCUGCGCGGCUCCAGAGUCCGCACCGUGCAGCCCAGGGGCUGGGUCGUGUCGGACUCGGGCUGUGUCUUACUGGUGGAAUUAGACUGGGCAAAUGCUAGAGAUGCUGGUGUGAGUGGGAAUGAGAGGGUCACCUCCAUCCCGGGCAUGUGUCCUGACGGGCGUGUGACAAUGACCACCAGACCUUGUCACGAGUAACUUGAUACAAAUGCAAACUUUGGUGUCUGGCUGGGAAGGCUCAAAUGAUAAUAGAAUUAAGCUCAUCGUGUUCUAAGACUGUGAGGGCUGCAUCGUAAUUCAGCCUGACUCCUUGUCCCGGCAAGCGUGGAGGCUGGGCUCAAACUGAGGAAUAUUCAGCAAUUGCUGAACCAGCGGCCAUUAAUAUGCAUGAAGAGUCAGCGCCCUCGGGGGUGACACGUUGGCAGGAGUGGGACGGCCUGGCAUUGGUGGCUCAGCUUCUGUCACUGCCCGAGAAGCUGCCCUGUGCUACCUUCCCCAUCCACCCACAAGCUCAGCCCCCACUGAGCCUUUCCCAAGGGGCCGCCUCUCUUAUCGCUGAGGGUAAGUGUCACUGGGGGGUGGGGGGGAGGGGGAGGCCACAGCUGUCCUCUCACCACUUACCAGGUGCUUUUCUAGCCUCCAGAGAGAGAGAGCCUUGAGCAAAAGCGACAGGACUGCCUGUGCUCGGAGAGCUGCAGCCUCGGUGAGGUGACACUCGUGCCGCGGCAUCACUGAGGCGUCCCCUGAUGUCCCUGCCUUCUGCUUUCUUGGUCUCAAGGCUGAAGUUAAAAAGCCUGUAAUUUUCGGGAGUUCCUGUCGUGGAUCUGUGGGUUACGAACCUGGCUCAUAUCCAUGAGGAUGUGGGUUCAAUCCCUGGCCCCGCUCAGUGGGUUGAGGAUCCGGGGUUGCCAUGAGCUGUGGUGUAGGUUGCCGAUGCAGCUUGGAUCCCGUAUUGCUGUGGUUAUGGUGUAGGCUGGCAGCUGCAGCUCCGGUUGGACCCCUAACCCAGGGACUUCCAUAUGCCACAGGUGCGGCUGUGUAAAGAAAAACAAAAAAAAUGAAAAAAAAAAAAGCAUAUAAAUUCCACCCUUAAACAAGUGCUUCCUUUUCCCUGCCUGCCUCAUCAUGGCUUUGUGCCUCUCCCCCAGUGCUUCUGGGGGCCCCUAAGAGACGUGCCGUUUGUACCUGAACUUGUGGCUCUGGCCCCUCCUUGGCAUCCAGCUGCUUCCCCAGACCCUCUGCUGACCCCGCGGAGCUGUGGGAGCAAAGGCCCCCUCUUCUGCACCCCUGGGUCUGAUGAUAGCGAGAAGGACCCUCUUUGUCUCAGCCGCAGGUCUCCGCCUCCAGGAUUUCAGCCAGGUGCCCACGGGCUGGAUCAGGGGCAUCUGGGCUGGGUACAGGGUCUGCGUCCUGGCAUGGCGAAGGCGUGUUCCGGCCUGACCUUGCCCCCUGGCUCUCUUUGGUGAAAAGUCUCUCUUGAGAGGCUCUCACCUCAGUCCCUUCUUAGAAUGGGCUUCUGUCAAGCAGCUGCUCCAGACUUCCAGACAACCCUGCCCGGGCCCGUGCCAGCCAUGAAUUUAGCUUUUCCUGACACUGACUUUCCCCACGCCGGUCUUCUGCCCUUCCAUAAAUCGGGGUCCCCCUCCUCCCCAGACUGCUGGCGGGGGGCCAGGGGCUCUGCCUGUCCUGGGCCUUCAUGAUUCAGAAUGACACUGUUGGGAGUUCCCCUUGUGGUUCAGCGGAUUACGAACUGGACGAGCAUCCAGGAGGAUGCGGGUUCCAUCCCUCGCCUCGCUCAGGGGGUCGGGGAUCUGGCGUUGCCACGAGCUGUGGUGUAGGUUGCAGAGGUGGCUCAGAUCUGGCGUUGCUGUGGCUGCGGUGUAGACCGGCAGCUGUGGCUCUGAUUUGACACCCAGCCUGGGAGCUUCCGUGGGCUCUGGGUUCGGCCCUAAAAACAAACAAGCCGCAAAAUAAAACAACAUCAACAACAACACAACAAAUCGCACUUUACCGCGUGAUAACAGGCGAUGAGAAAAGACACGGGGUGCUGUGGUGGAGAACGCUGAGGGGCGUGUUAGCUGUCUAUUGCGGCGACAGAAAUUACCCCCCACCCCGCAGCUUGAAACAGCACCAUCGAUUAUCUCAGAUUCUGUGGAUUAGGGAUUGGGAGCAGUUUAGCUGGCUGGUUCUGGUUCAGCGGCUGUCUGAAAGCUUUCGUCAAACUGUGCCCUGGGGCUGAGACCUCAUCCUACGGCUCAGCCUGGACUGAAGGACCGGGUUCGAGGCUGACGCCUGUGGUUGCGGGCAAGCCUCAGAUCUGCACCUGUUGCUGUGCUGAGGGCCUCAGUUCCCUGCUAGGUGUUGGCCGACUGUCUCCACCAACCCAGUUAGUUACUCUCCUUUGAUCCUUUCUAUAGGGGGGCUCAUAGCCUAGCGGCUGCCUUCCCCCAGAGCUAAUGGUCCAAGAGCGGGAGAGGGAGAGGGACAGUGUUCAUCCAAAAGGGAAGCCACAGCUUUCAGAGCCUGAUCAGAAGGGUGACUCGCCAUCACUUUAUAUUCUGUUCAUUAGAAUGGAGGUUCUUGUUCUAACCCUCACUCACCGGACGGAGAAUUAAGCUUCCCAUCCCCCUUAUUUUAGGGCCACACCUGCAGCAUAUGGAGGUUCCCAUGCUAGGGGUCUAAUCAGAGCUGUAGCCACUGGCCUAUGCCAGAUCUGAGCUGUGUCUGCGACCUACACCACAGCUCAUGGCAACGCUGGAUCCUUAACCCACUGAUUGAGGCUAGGGAUCGAACUCGAAACCUCAUGGUUCCUCGUCGGAUUCUUUAACCGCUGAGCCACGAUGGGAACUCUCUGGACAAUUUUUUUUAAGCUACCACAAGGAGGGAUGGUGGGGUGGGUUNAAAUAAAGAAAGAAAGAAAAAGAAAAAAGAAAAGAAAGAUCUCACUUAAAUAAAAACAUGACAUACAUAAAAAUAGCUUUUGUUGCGAGCCAAGUGAUUCUUCUUUUUGUCUUUAAAUUAGAAAGGAAAGAAAGGCUGUCUGUUGGUGAGGCAGGGAAGAGAGCCCCUGUGGCCCCAUCAGCGACUCAGUUGAGGGAGGGGCUGUGAGGAGUCUGACCAGGCUGCCCCUCGUGAUCAGCCCUGAGGGCAGGUUUAUAGAGAAGCUGAAAGUGGCAGUGGGAUUUACUGAGAUAUUAAUUCACGUUUGUUUUGACUCUGUGAAAGGGUCCGAGAGAAGGAGAACAAUUCCUGGCCAUCUCUAACUCUGCUCCCCCCUUUUCUGCCUUAAGUUCUGGAAAAUCUGGACAACCUCAGCACCCAUAAGCUUCUGCUUUAGAAAAAAAGCUGAGCAAAGUGUCCUGGAGGCCACGUGGGGCUCUGGGAGAUGCAGAAUAUGGAAAUGGAUGUGGAGAGAGGUUUAUUUAUCUAUUUUUUCUCAUUUUUGGCCGCCCCUUGGCAUACGGAGUUCACAGGCCAAGGAUCAGAUCCCAGCCAUAGUGUGACCUAAGCUGCAGCUGCAGCAAUGCUGGAUCCUUAACCUGCUGUGCAGGGCCAGGGAUCAAACCUGUGUCCCAGCGCUCCGGAGAUACUGCCCAUCCUGUUCCACUACUUAAUCUUACUUAAGAUGAAAGGGGCAGAGACCUGGGGUUCCAGGACCUAGGGGGGCUUGCUUUGCUUCCCACAGCAUCAGGAAGGUGGCAGGUGCAUGGCUGGGUGCUGCUCCCAGAGAUGGUUGAACUCCGAGCUCAGAACAUCCCUGCCUGGAUGAAGGUCCUGUGUCCAAGCUGGACACUGAGCCAAUCGGAGAUGACCAGCAUAGAUAGACAUGAGAGGACCAGACGGCAGGAUCCAGGUCGUUGCAGUGCCACCCGCGAAGAUGGGGGAUGGAACCUCAGGCAGGCAGCCACUGGAUUUACCAGCAGCCCUGUGCUUGUGGGUACAGAGCAUGUGACACUUGCUUUGUAGAAAUAAAAAAAUCGGGAGUUCCCGUUGUGGCUCAUAACAUUAAGAACCUGACUAGUCUCUGUGAGGAUGUGGGUUCAAUCCCUGACCUCACACAGUGGAUUAAGGAUCCAGCAUUGCCACAAGCUGUAGCAGAGGUCACAGAUGUGGCUGGAAUCUGGUGUUGCAUGUGGGAACUUCCAUAUGCUGCAGGUGCGACCCUAAAAAGACAAAAAAAAUCAGGCAUUUCCUGCAUCCUGUGUAUCACAGUAUAAGCCCCACAGUCUAUAAAUUCUUUUUUUUUUUUUUUUUUUUUUUUUGUCUUUUUGCCAUUUCUUGGGCUGCUCCCGUGGCAUAGGGAGGUUCCCAGGCUC
Molecule: long non-coding RNA, 5919 nt
Filed under: Sus scrofa (pig)
Lineage: Eukaryota; Metazoa; Chordata; Mammalia; Artiodactyla; Suidae
Description: lncRNA (ENSSSCG00050012412.1)
Source: RNAcentral